ACCAAACAAAAUCUCAUAGGGUGAUAGGCUGUAUUUUCCCCUAGGUGUGUACCUUACACUAAACAAUGCCAGUGGGAGACUCUCGGGCCAGGGCAUGUUAGUUUCUUGUGACAUCUUAAGCAUUCUGGCUUUCAAAGUGCCAUUCAUGCGUUCUACCUUACCACUACUCUGUGGGUGAUAUGGUGUGUGGAAUGCAAGGGUCACCCCCAGUGCUGACCAGACUUCCCGUGUUAGCGAGGCAGUAAAGGAGGUCCCCUGGUCACUUUCAAUCACUUCUGGGACCCCAUAGCGGCAAACAAUUUCUGUCAGGAGGUACUUGGCUGUAGUCCUCGCGGUGAGGUUAGUCACUGGGAAGGCCUCUGGCCAUCCUGAAAACAUGUCCACUAUGACCAAUGCAUAUUCAUAACGUCCA
Molecule: non-coding RNA, 412 nt
Organism: Pelobates cultripes (western spadefoot toad)
Lineage: Eukaryota; Metazoa; Chordata; Amphibia; Anura; Pelobatidae
Source: the annotation of a GenBank genome assembly